Canis lupus familiaris (dog) is the source of this 990-nucleotide non-coding RNA. NCBI's taxonomy places the organism in Eukaryota, Metazoa, Chordata, Mammalia, Carnivora, Canidae. The record is from the annotation of a RefSeq genome assembly.
UCCUAGCAAACUCUUCUCUCCAGAGCCCAUAUCAGUGCUGGGUCAGUGCUCUGGGGGAGAUCUGCCUCAGUUAGGACACAGAGUGAGCCAUGGAAGCCCCAGCUCGCCUUCUCUGCCUUCUGUUACUCUGGCUCCCAGAUAUCACCGGAGAAAUCGUGAUGACACAGUCUCCAGACUCCCUCUCCUUGUCUCAGGAGAAAAAAGUCACCAUCACCUGCUGGGCCAGUCAGAGUGUUAGCAGCUACUUAGCCUGGUACCAGCAAAAACCUGGGCAGGCUCCCAAGCUCCUCAUCUAUGGUGCAUCCAACAAGGCCACUGGUGUCCCAUCCCGGUUCAGUGGCAGUGGGUCUGGGACAGACUUCAGCUUCACCAUCAGCAGCCUGGAGCCUGAAGAUGUUGCAGUUUAUUACUGUCAGCAGUAUAAUAGCGGAUAUACGUUCGGCCAAGGGACCAAGGUGGAGAUCAAACGGAAUGAUGCCCAGCCAGCCGUCUAUUUGUUCCAACCAUCUCCAGACCAGUUACACACAGGAAGUGCCUCUGUUGUGUGUUUGCUGAAUAGCUUCUACCCCAAAGACAUCAAUGUCAAGUGGAAAGUGGAUGGUGUCAUCCAAGACACAGGCAUCCAGGAAAGUGUCACAGAGCAGGACAAGGACAGUACCUACAGCCUCAGCAGCACCCUGACGAUGUCCAGUACUGAGUACCUAAGUCAUGAGUUGUACUCCUGUGAGAUCACUCACAAGAGCCUGCCCUCCACCCUCAUCAAGAGCUUCCAAAGGAGCGAGUGUCAGAGAGUGGACUAACAGGCCCCACCACCUGCCCCUCAGGCCUAGCCUUCCUGUCUCCUAGCUCAGGCCUUGGGCCCUUUCCCCAUCAGAGACCCACCUCUGUUGCAGGCACCACCCUUCUCCCCACCUCCCCCUCUUGGGCUUUAACAAUGCUAAUGGUAUCUGGGGGAAAAGGAAUAAAUAAAGUGAAUUGUUGCACCUGUGC